AUGGGUUUUGUUAAACUAAAUGUUGAUUCUUCUUUUGACCAUGAUCUGCUCAGGGGCACCGCAGGUGCUGUACUUAGAGAUGACAAAGAAAAAAUCAUUGUUGGCAGAAAUUGGAAGAUCGAUUGGUGUGCUGAUGUACUAAUAGCAGAAGCGGUGGCUCUUAGGUUUGGUUUAAUUCUUGCACAAAAGGUGGGAUGCAAUCGUCUUAUUAUUAACUCUGAUAAUAUGGAAGUCAUUGACACAAUGAAGGAUGGAGGACAAUCGGCGGGAGUUGUGGCGGCAGUCUUUGAGGAUUGUUACUUCCUGGCUUGUGAUUUUCCGUUGACUAGAUUUGAACAUUGUAAUAGGGUAGCUAAUAAGGUUGCUCAUGAACUUGCUAGGCUAGCGAAAGUUUCUAUAACUAGAGAUUGGUUUGAGGAGCCUAUGGAGAAUAUUGUACCUCUUCUUAUAGAUGAUGUAACCAUUAUUUCCAAUUAA
This 477-nucleotide ribosomal RNA is filed under the name Triticum aestivum (bread wheat). RNAcentral describes it as "partial small subunit ribosomal RNA". The record is from RNAcentral. Lineage: Eukaryota; Viridiplantae; Streptophyta; Magnoliopsida; Poales; Poaceae.